Molecule: long non-coding RNA, 506 nt
Filed under: Phoenix dactylifera (date palm)
Lineage: Eukaryota; Viridiplantae; Streptophyta; Magnoliopsida; Arecales; Arecaceae
Description: long non-coding RNA (PDAC_LNC022926)
Source: RNAcentral
AUAUAACUUAAGAUUGGACUACAAGCAGACCUUAAAAAUGCACUUGAGUAAACAUAUACUGUCUAUGUGGAGCUGUAAAAUGCCCACCGACCAACAACGGCUAAGAUGAUACGUAAAGUGACCAUCUUAGCAGCAAGCCAGCAACUUGUUCUGGGAUGACUAAGACCUGAUACAGUCCAACUAAUCAGGGGAUUGGGCCAUUAAGUUUUCAACUUGGGUUAUGAAUGGCAAGCACACCCUGAUUUCAGGUAGAGAUAGAUUCAGGUCAAGGGCUCAGUCGACUUGACCAAAAGUGAUUUAAUGCAAUAGCUUAAUCUUAAACAAGGAAAAACCAAAAAAAAAAGAAAAAUUUUCAAUAGUUCUUUUCUGAGCUAUCAUAAACUCUAAACAGUGUUUUUGGAUAUGCGGGCAAUAUAUUAAAUGCACAAAUUUUCUUGUUUUCCCAGGUGGCAACAACUUCUGAUCAACAGUCUUGUUGGUUAUGAUACAAUUCUUACAAAUAGUUU